CCUAGACUUGUCCUCGAAGAAAAAUUUCUGCUUAGCUUUUUUACCACGAAAAGCUUUUGAUAAACAAGCAGGCCUAUAUAUGGGUCUCUAUCUGGGUACAGCUUCCAAUCUCAGUCUAUUGACCGGUUGUCAUCUAGAUGUUUGGAAUGUCCAAGAUUGCUGCAGAGACGAGUGCUGUUUCUAAAUAAGUUGAAAGUUCUCUUCCCCUCCGCACUGACUAGUUUAUGUUUAGUUUAUGCAGUUUUGGAACAAUAUGAUUUAGCCUAUAUAUGGCUCAAAUAUGGUACAAGCGGGUGUUGUUAAGACUUUGUUACUGUGAUUCCAGUUUGAGUUUAAAUGAUUAAAUUUGAAUGUUUUAAUGA
This is a long non-coding RNA of Ricinus communis (castor bean), 362 nucleotides long. RefSeq lists it as uncharacterized. Lineage: Eukaryota; Viridiplantae; Streptophyta; Magnoliopsida; Malpighiales; Euphorbiaceae. The transcript has 2 exons. The record is from RefSeq and is a predicted model, not a curated record.